UGGGGAAUCUUGGACAAUGGGCGCAAGCCUGAUCCAGCCAUGCCGCGUGAGUGAUGAAGGCCUUAGGGUUGUAAAACUCUUUCGUCGGGGACGAUAAUGACGGUACCCGAAGAAGAAGCUCCGGCUAACUUCGUGCCAGCAGCCGCGGUAAUACGAAGGGAGCUAGCGUUGUUCGGAAUCACUGGGCGUAAAGCGCACGUAGGCGGAUAGUUAAGUCAGGGGUGAAAUCCUGGGGCUCAACCCCAGAACUGCCUUUGAUACUGGCUGUCUCGAGGUCGAGAGAGGUUGGUGGAAUUCCUAGUGUAGAGGUGAAAUUCGUAGAUAUUAGGAAGAACACCAGUGGCGAAGGCGGCCAACUGGCUCGAUACUGACGCUGAGGUGCGAAAGCGUGGGGAGCAAACAGGAUUAGAUACCCGAGUAGUCCCUGAGCGGGCUGGCAAGGCGCAU
RNAcentral lists this ribosomal RNA (447 nucleotides) under uncultured bacterium. RNAcentral describes it as "bacterial SSU rRNA". It matches the Rfam family "Bacterial small subunit ribosomal RNA", at positions 355 to 825 of the family's 1533-position model. The record is from RNAcentral.